RNAcentral lists this ribosomal RNA (274 nucleotides) under uncultured bacterium. RNAcentral describes it as "partial 16S ribosomal RNA". It matches the Rfam family "Archaeal small subunit ribosomal RNA", at positions 473 to 747 of the family's 1478-position model. The record is from RNAcentral.
AAACCAGCACCUCAAGUGGUCAGGAGGAUUAUUGGGCCUAAAGCAUCCGUAGCCUGUUCUAUAAGUUUCCGGUUAAAUCCAUUAGCUUAACUAAUGGGCUGCCGAAAAUACUGUAGAACUAGGGAGUGGGAGAGGUAGACGGUAUUCGGUAGGAAGGGGUAAAAUCCUUUGAUCUAUUGAGGACCACCUGUGGCGAAGGCGGUCUACCAGAACACGUUCGACGGUGAGGGAUGAAAGCUGGGGGAGCAAACCGGAUUAGAAACCCGAGUAGUCC